RNAcentral lists this unclassified non-coding RNA (338 nucleotides) under Anneissia japonica. RNAcentral's name for it is "glycine-rich RNA-binding, abscisic acid-inducible protein-like, transcript variant X2". The record is from RNAcentral. Lineage: Eukaryota; Metazoa; Echinodermata; Crinoidea; Comatulida; Comatulidae.
CGCGCCUUCCCAUAAUCCAUUCUUUUCUUCGCUUGGGUUCAUCUCUGCAGAAUUACAUAAUUUGGUAGCAGUAUAAAGAAGUAGUUAUUUGCCUAUAUAAUUUAGCUCAAACAAGUGAAGAAGACAGAAUACACCAUGUCUGAAGACGAAGGGCGAAAUCAGAUCAACGUUCGAAGAAUUUGGGCAGAUCAGCGAUGUAACAGUUGUCAUGGACCGAGAGACAGGCCGUAGUCGUGGCUUUGGUUUUGUACAGUUUUAUGAUAAAUCGGCCGCUAUGGCAGCAAUAAGUCGUAAUGAUAUUGAACUUGGUAAUAGGACGUUAAGAGUGCAAACCGCAA